RNAcentral lists this long non-coding RNA (1599 nucleotides) under Marmota monax (woodchuck). The record is from RNAcentral. Lineage: Eukaryota; Metazoa; Chordata; Mammalia; Rodentia; Sciuridae.
UUUGUCUGCUCCCAAGUUUUCUGAUGUGUCUAAUCGCUCUGGCCAGUGUUUCAAGAAGUAUUUUAAAUAGAAAUGGUAAAAGAGGGCAUCCCUGUCUUUUUCCAGUUUUUUGAGACAAUGCUUUCAAUUUUUCUCCAUUUAGAAUGAUGUUGGCCUGGGGCUUAGUAUAGGUAGCUUUUACAGUGUUGUGAUAUUUUCCUGUUAUCCCUAAUUUUUCUAGUGUUUUGAACAUGAAGGGGUGCUUAUUUUGUCCAAUGCUUUUUCUGCGUCUAUUGAGAUGAUCGUAUGGAUGUGAUGAAUUACAUUUAUUGACUUCUGUAUGUUGAACCAACCUAGUAACCUGAGAUGAACCCCAUUUGAUCCUUGAUCGUGGUGCACAAUCAUUUUGAUAUGUUUUUGUAUUCGAUUUGUGUUUCGAUGGUCAAAAGGUGCCACUUAUGCAGUCCAGGGGGAGAAAUAAAGAAUGUCCACAUGCUUCUGCCCUUUGCAAUGCUUUUUUCACUCAAAUCACUCAUACAGUUUCACUCUAUAGGUUCUUAAUCAAGAAAAUGACAAUCCUUAAUGCUAGGCACUGCAGUAGACACAAUGAAUUCACAGCAAACAAUUCAGGAUUAAUUAAUUCACAGUAAACAAUUCUAGAUUAAUUCUAAGCACUGCAGACACACUUAAUCAUGACCAGCUAAUGACAGACAUUCUCUCUGCACACUAAGUUCAAGUGUCAGAUCAAAAGUCUCUAGCCUUAGGCUUUAAAUCCAACAGAUGCACACUCAGAUCACGGUGAUCAGAUCAGGAACCAAGGCAGGCUUCUGGGGUGGAGCUGAUGGCUAGCUGAGGAGAGGAUCAUAGGGAGAAGUUGUGGCUCUUACCAAGGUCAAGUUGUGGCUGUAGAGUUUGAGAGCAGUGAGGCAGAUGCAGAGGAUAAGCAAACAAUGAAAAGUGUCGGGAUGUCAGUCCAGGUCCUCAUCAGGCUCUCAGCAUGAGGGCAUCAGUAUAGGCUGGCUGAAUGUAUGUUCAUUUGCUCUUUUACUUAUACUAAAUUUUGGGGCUUUUGCCCCUCCCCUCCUUUUAAUCCUUAUCAACUGCCACUGGAUUUCUUAGUGACAUCAUUUACCCUGGGGUUAAAACAUCUGGUCCGGUGGACUUGUUUGUGCUUGAGGGCCACAAUGGAGGGCUCUGUUAGCCCUGCGUGAUGAGAUUGCAGGUUUCAAACUGGAGUAUUUAAAAUGGAGUUACUUAGGCUCAGGCCUAAGGGCAUCCUCAUAAUUUGCCAGAAUUUUAUUGAGAAUUUUUGCAUCUAUGUUCAUUAGAGAUAUUGUCUGAAGUUUUCUUUCUUUGAUGUGUUUUGCCUAGUUUUGGAAUCAGGGUGACAUUGGCCUCAUAGAAUGUAUUUGGAAGUGCUCCCUCUUUUUCUAUUUCCUGAAAUAAAUUGAGGACUAUUUGUAUUAGUUCUUCUUUAAAGGUCUUGUAGAACAUGGCUGUGUAUCCAUCUGGUCCUGGGCUUUUCUUGGUUCGUAGGUUUUUGAUGGCGUCUUCUGUUUCAUCAUUUGAAAUAUAUCAUCCUUAUUCAAUUUGGGCAGAUCAUAUGACUCUAGAAAUUUG